AUUGAACGCUGGCGGCAGGCCUAACACAUGCAAGUCGAGCGGAUGAAGGGAGCUUGCUCCUGGACUCAGCGGCGGACGGGUGAGUAAUGCCUAGGAAUCUGCCUGGUAGUGGGGGAUAACGUCCGGAAACGGGCGCUAAUGCCGCAUACGUCCUGAGGGAGAAAGUGGGGGAUCUUCGGACCUCACGCUAUCAGAUGAGCCUAGGUCGGAUUAGCUAGUUGGUGGGGUAAAGGCCUACCAAGGCGACGAUCCGUAACUGGUCUGAGAGGAUGAUCAGUCACACUGGAACUGAGACACGGUCCAGACUCCUACGGGAGGCAGCAGUGGGGAAUAUCGGACAAUGGGCGAAAGCCUGAUCCAGCCAUGCCGCGUGUGUGAAGAAGGUCUUCGGAUUGUAAAGCACUUUAAGUUGGGAGGAAGGGCAGUAAGUUAAUACCUUGCUGUUUUGACGUUACCAACAGAAUAAGCACCGGCUAACUUCGUG
RNAcentral lists this ribosomal RNA (484 nucleotides) under uncultured bacterium. RNAcentral describes it as "partial 16S ribosomal RNA". It matches the Rfam family "Bacterial small subunit ribosomal RNA", at positions 30 to 507 of the family's 1533-position model. The record is from RNAcentral.